CCCAGAGGCAGGAAGGCGGAGCUUAAGUAACAGCUCUAGAGAGAGAGGCUAAGAAUAUUAUUGCUCCUCUGUCAUAGAAGACAGAUAACUCAGCUUGCCUAAACUGGUAUUGAAGGCAAGAAGGGAUCUUGGAGAGCCAUUGAUUUUCCCUCUACAACAAAAAGCCAAACCACCUGGGCCUCUGUUGUCAUGGAAGGAUGCAGGCAGUAGCAACAGCAGCAGGAUGAAUGCACUCACUAACAAGCAUUGAAAGCAGGGAGAAGCUUCUAAAGAAAAUACAGCCUCCGAACACAGUUUAGCGUGAUAGAGCAAUUACGAAGAGUGGUUUAUUUAAGGCAUCUAAGAUGGAGAAGAAUCAAUUAUUAUUAAGGAGGACUACUUCCCAGAGAUUGUGAUGGACCUUUUCAGAAGAGGGCAGGCAUGAAAAGUCUCAGUGCAGAUUUGCUUACGUUCUGCUGGCAAAAUUCAUAAUCAAACGAAAUAGGAAAAUAAUCUCACUAUGGUGCAUGCCAUUUUUCUAUCCAAUGAAACCUCAUAAAUUGCUGUUAGGAAUAAACUACAGUGAAUGAGAAAGAAAGAAGUGAAAAAUUAAAGCAUUACAAAUGUAAGAAAAAGUAAUCCUUGCAAAUAAGAAAUUCCAGCCUUCUUGGAUCCAUUGGCCUUGGAGAACAUCAUGGAACUGUCAGAACCUACACCAAUGAAGUCUUACCAUCAUUGCUUCCUGAACAUGACCUGAAAAAAGAAGAUACCAGUAUACAUGGAUACAUCAAAUGGGUACGCUCAUGAGAC
Molecule: long non-coding RNA, 789 nt
Organism: Mastomys coucha (southern multimammate mouse)
Lineage: Eukaryota; Metazoa; Chordata; Mammalia; Rodentia; Muridae
Exons: 7
Source: RefSeq, a predicted model, not a curated record